Molecule: ribosomal RNA, 492 nt
Filed under: uncultured bacterium
Lineage: Bacteria
Description: partial 16S ribosomal RNA
Rfam family: Bacterial small subunit ribosomal RNA
Source: RNAcentral
AGUGAACGCUGGCGGUAGGCCUAACACAUGCAAGUCGAACGGCAGCACAGUAAGAGCUUGCUCUUACGGGUGGCGAGUGGCGGACGGGUGAGGAAUACAUCGGAAUCUACUUUUUCUUGGGGGAUAACGUAGGGAAACUUACGCUAAUACCGCAUACGACCUACGGGUGAAAGCAGGGGAUCUUCGGACCUUGCGCGAUUGAUUGAGCCGAUGUCGGAUUAGCUAGUUGGCGGGGUAAAGGCCCACCAAGGCGACGAUCCGUAGCUGGUCUGAGAGGAUGAUCAGCAAAACUGGAACUGAGACACGGUCCAGACUACGACGGGAGGCAGCAGUGGGGAAUAUUGGACAAUGGGCGCAAGCAUGAUCCAGCAAUACCGAGUGGGUGAAGAAGGCCUUCGGGUUGUAAAGCCCUUUUGUUGGGAAAGAAAAGCAGCAGGUUAAUACCCCGCUGUUCUGACGGUACCCAAAGAAUAAGCACCGGCUAACUUCGUG